Salmo salar (Atlantic salmon) is the source of this 55-nucleotide non-coding RNA. The record is from Rfam. NCBI's taxonomy places the organism in Eukaryota, Metazoa, Chordata, Actinopteri, Salmoniformes, Salmonidae.
UGCGUUCACUACUGUAAGUCGCUCUGGAUAAGAGCGUCUGCUAAAAUGACUAAAA